GUACCCUCAAGCUUUGCUUGGUGUUGGGUGUUUGUCCCGCGCGUUUGCGCAGACUCGCCUUAAAUCAAUUGGCAGCCGGCAUGUUAGCCUGGAGCGCAGCACAUUUUGCGCCCCUUUCUAGCUUGUGUUGGCCCCCAUCAAGUCCAUAUAUUUGC
RNAcentral lists this unclassified non-coding RNA (155 nucleotides) under uncultured Leptosphaeria. RNAcentral's name for it is "sequence contains ITS2". Lineage: Eukaryota; Fungi; Ascomycota; Dothideomycetes; Pleosporales; Leptosphaeriaceae. The record is from RNAcentral.